Molecule: non-coding RNA, 23 nt
Filed under: Rattus norvegicus (Norway rat)
Lineage: Eukaryota; Metazoa; Chordata; Mammalia; Rodentia; Muridae
Source: RNAcentral
UGGCACUGCUAAACUACAACCCC